RNAcentral lists this ribosomal RNA (464 nucleotides) under Vreelandella stevensii. Its description in RNAcentral is "partial 16S ribosomal RNA". It matches the Rfam family "Bacterial small subunit ribosomal RNA", at positions 338 to 795 of the family's 1533-position model. The record is from RNAcentral. Lineage: Bacteria; Pseudomonadati; Pseudomonadota; Gammaproteobacteria; Oceanospirillales; Halomonadaceae.
CCUAGGGUGGCAGCAGUGGGGAAUAUUGGACAAUGGGCGAAAGCCUGAUCCAGCCAUGCCGCGUGUGUGAAGAAGGCCUUCGGGUUGUAAAGCACUUUCAGUGGGGAAGAAAGCCUUGGGGCUAAUACCCUCGAGGAAGGACAUCACCCACAGAAGAAGCACCGGCUAACUCCGUGCCAGCAGCCGCGGUAAUACGGAGGGGGCGAGCGUUAAUCGGAAUUACUGGGCGUAAAGCGCGCGUAGGCGGUCUGAUAAGCCGGUUGUGAAAGCCCCGGGCUCAACCUGGGAACGGCAUCCGGAACUGUCAGGCUAGAGUGCAGGAGAGGAAGGUAGAAUUCCCGGUGUAGCGGUGAAAUGCGUAGAGAUCGGGAGGAAUACCAGUGGCGAAGGCGGCCUUCUGGACUGACACUGACGCUGAGGAGCGAAAGCGUGGGUAGCAAACAGGAUUAGAUACCCCUGUAGUC